UAACCCCAGUCGAGCGGCGGACGGGUGAGUAACGCGUGGAUGAUCUACCUUUUGGUGGGGGAUAACCCGGGGAAACUCGAGCUAAUACCGCAUAAGAUCGCAAGAUGAAAGGGGCGCAAGUCCCGCCGGAAGAGGAGUCCGCGUCCGAUUAGCUAGUUGGUAGGGUAAUGGCCUACCAAGGCGACGAUCGGUAGCCGGCCUGAGAGGGUGAUCGGCCACACUGGAACUGAGACACGGUCCAG
RNAcentral lists this ribosomal RNA (242 nucleotides) under uncultured bacterium. RNAcentral's name for it is "partial 16S ribosomal RNA". It matches the Rfam family "Bacterial small subunit ribosomal RNA", at positions 82 to 334 of the family's 1533-position model. The record is from RNAcentral.